ACCCGGCGCGGUGGUGCGUGCCUGUAGUCCCAGCUACUCGGGAGGCUGAGGCUGGAGGAUCUCUUGAGCCCAGGAGUUCUGGGCUGUAGUGCGCUAUACCGAUCGGGUGUCCACACUAUGUGCGGCAUCAAUAUGGUGACCUCCCGGGAGUGGGGGACCACCAGGCUGCCUAAGGAGGGUGAACCGGCCCAGGUCGGAAACACAGCAGGUGAAAACUCCCGUGCUGAUCAGUAGUGGGAUCGCGCCUGUGAAUAGCCACUGCCCUCCAGCCUGGGCAGUAUAGCAAGAGUCUGUCUCU
RNAcentral lists this signal recognition particle RNA (298 nucleotides) under Cebus imitator (Panamanian white-faced capuchin). Its description in RNAcentral is "Metazoan signal recognition particle RNA (ENSCCAG00000005109.1)". It matches the Rfam family "Metazoan signal recognition particle RNA". Rfam says of the family: The signal recognition particle (SRP) is a universally conserved ribonucleoprotein. The record is from RNAcentral. Lineage: Eukaryota; Metazoa; Chordata; Mammalia; Primates; Cebidae.